Molecule: non-coding RNA, 341 nt
Organism: Pelobates cultripes (western spadefoot toad)
Lineage: Eukaryota; Metazoa; Chordata; Amphibia; Anura; Pelobatidae
Source: the annotation of a GenBank genome assembly
CCCAGUCAUACCUAACUCUUUGAACUGCCAAUCUAUGUUAUCUUACUGCCUUUAUGACUUACUCCCUUAUAUGUCUCACGUACAACUCGACCGCACUUAGACACAGAGCACAGCAUGCCUGACUACACUCUAGGACCACACACACUGCACCAGUUGUAGUCAUACAUCAUUACUACCACCGACCCACCACAACGACACAACGGCUUUGGCACCCCAAUCAACACACAUAGCUGUAAGACAUUGUGACACUGUGUACCUCUCCCAGCCACAUGAAACGGCUAUUAAGCGACAUAUCCCUCUUCAAUAACACAGUCAGUUGACAAACCUAAUGACUGCACUAA